GACGAACCGUCCAAACGUUAUUCGGAAUCACUGGGCUUACAGAGUUCGUAGGCGGUCUGGAAAGUUGGGUGUGAAAUCCCUCGGCUCAACCGAGGAACUGCGCUUGAAACUACCAGACUCGAGGGAGAUAGAGGAAAGCGGAACUGAUGGUGGAGCGGUGAAAUGCGUUGAUAUCAUCAGGAACACCGGUGGCGAAGGCGGCUUUCUGGGUCUUCCUGACGCUGAGGAACGAAAGCUAG
This 239-nucleotide ribosomal RNA is filed under the name uncultured bacterium. RNAcentral describes it as "partial 16S ribosomal RNA". It matches the Rfam family "Bacterial small subunit ribosomal RNA", at positions 524 to 763 of the family's 1533-position model. The record is from RNAcentral.